GUAUGAAAUGAUAACUUCUUUGACCUGAAAUAAUAAAUUGAUUUAACCAUCAGGCAGUGCAUCAUUAAAUACAACUUUCCUGAAUCCCAGGCCAGGUAAAACCUUCCAAAUAUGUGAAUAUGGACAAGUACAUCUAUGUACAUUAUACAGAUAAUGCUGCACAUAUUAAGCAUGUAUACACACACAUACACACACGAGCACGCACAAAGAUGCUUGCAAUCUGAAAUUAAGCAUAUGCACUAGGCU
Molecule: unclassified non-coding RNA, 246 nt
Filed under: Hevea brasiliensis (rubber tree)
Lineage: Eukaryota; Viridiplantae; Streptophyta; Magnoliopsida; Malpighiales; Euphorbiaceae
Source: RNAcentral